AGUGAACGCUGGCGGUAGGCCUAACACAUGCAAGUCGAACGGCAGCACAGUAAGAGCUUGCUCUUACGGGUGGCGAGUGGCGGACGGGUGAGGAAUACAUCGGAAUCUACUUUUUCGUGGGGGAUAACGUAGGGAAACUUACGCUAAUACCGCAUACGACCUGCGGGUGAAAGCAGGGGAUCUUCGGACCUUGCGCGAUUGAAUGAGCCGAUGUCGGAUUAGCUAGUUGGCGGGGUAAAGGCCCACCAAGGCGACGAUCCGUAGCUGGUCUGAGAGGAUGAUCAGCCACACUGGAACUGAGACACGGUCCAGACUCCUACGGGAGGCAGCAGUGGGGAAUAUUGGACAAUGGGCGCAAGCCUGAUCCAGCCAUACCGCGUGGGUGAAGAAGGCCUUCGGGUUGUAAAGCCCUUUUGUUGGGAAAGAAAAGCAGCAGGUUAAUACCCCGCUGUUCUGACGGUACCCAAAGAAUAAGCGCCGGCUAACUUCGUG
This 492-nucleotide ribosomal RNA is filed under the name uncultured bacterium. RNAcentral describes it as "partial 16S ribosomal RNA". It matches the Rfam family "Bacterial small subunit ribosomal RNA", at positions 29 to 507 of the family's 1533-position model. The record is from RNAcentral.